RNAcentral lists this ribosomal RNA (497 nucleotides) under uncultured bacterium. Its description in RNAcentral is "bacterial SSU rRNA". It matches the Rfam family "Bacterial small subunit ribosomal RNA", at positions 28 to 524 of the family's 1533-position model. The record is from RNAcentral.
GAUGAACGCUAGCGGGAGGCCUAAUACAUGCAAGUCGAACGGUAACAGGUAGCAAUACGCUGACGAGUGGCGCACGGGUGCGUAACGCGUACACAAUCUGCCUUAUACUGGGGCAUAGCCUUUGGAAACGAAGAAUAAUUCCCCAUAAUAUAUAGAAGAGGCAUCUCUUUCAUAUUAAAGCUCAGGCGGUAUAAGAUGAGUGUGCGUCCGAUUAGGUAGUUGGUGAGGUAACGGCUCACCAAGCCAACGAUCGGUAGCUGGUCUGAGAGGAUGAUCAGCCACACGGGCACUGAGACACGGGCCCGACUCCUACGGGAGGCAGCAGUAGGGAAUAUUGGACAAUGGGCGCAAGCCUGAUCCAGCCAUCCCGCGUGAAGGAUGAAGGUCCUCUGGAUUGUAAACUUCUUUUCUUCGGGAAUAAAACUAGGGGUUCUCCUCAGCUUGAAGGUACCGAAGGAAUAAGCACCGGCUAACUCCGUGCCAGCAGCCGCGGUAAA